AAAAGAAAAAAAGGUUUCAAUUUGCAAUACUAUCAUUUUUAAGAUACUAAUGUCAUUUGGUUUAGAGAUAGAACCUUAUAUUUUUUUCAAUAAAGCUUCAAAUGGACAUUCGAGUAAAAAAGAAAAGGAACCUUACUAAUAUUUAUAAGAUAAACAAGAUAUUUCUCUGAUCGUGAAUUGGUUUUGAAAUAAAACCACAAAAUUUGGAGUUCGAUCUAAUAAUGAUGAAUCUAAAGAAACACCAUCUUGAAGAGCAUUGAAAUUUUCACAUUAAAAAAAUUACUAUAAAAAUUUUAACGUGUUCCAAUUUUUUUUUCCAAUAUAUACAUAAUUUCAUCGGCAUAGGUUUGUUUUCCGCUACAAAAAAUUCAUUCGUCAGCCAAAGUGGAGCAACCCAUGGAGUUUCUUUCUGCAGAUCUAUGCUGACGUAAUAAUGUGUCUACCAAAAUGUUUAUUUUUUUUUAAAAAAAAUCCACUUCUCUUCUCCUCCUCCUUGGUCGCCAGCGCCAGUUACGACCGCGGGGUAAUACGUUGGGCUGUGUUGAAGUAUUUGGUGGGCUCAUGAAGAUUAUACCGAGGCCCAAACUAGAAAUCUUGUUCAACUCAAACCAGCUGAAGGAAAACUUCUCUCUGAAUACCGUGUGCUGAAAGCACAAUCCGUGUGAAGGCUUGAUCUGAUUUUACAUGUUAAUGGCUAGGAUUAGAUCUAGGCACUCACACAAUAAGAUUGCUUUGAAUGACUAUCUUUCAUUUUUCUUUCUUUCAGAUCAGAGAGCUCAAGAGAGAAAAGAGAAAAGAGGGAAAAUGCUGCUUGUUUAGCUCGAGGAAAAAAACUGGGAAAAAGAUGAUGAUUCAGUAAGCAAGAAGUGCAAAAGAAGAAGAAGAAGAAUACCAAUCUUUUAACGUAGUUCGGGAACAACAAAGCCUACAUCCACGAAGGAGCUGAUUUGUUAUUCAGUCUUGGAGAGAUUUUUUGGAAUUACAGAUAAGUUGGCAGGAAGAACUUUUUAUUUUCACAGUGCUUUACAAAGUAGUUAUAACAUACUUGUAAAGUUUAAUUUCAACAAGUUCUCCUUGACAUAAUACUUUCUAAAUAGAUGGAUAGUGGUCUAAUGGUUUAGUAGGAUUGGUGGAGAAAAAUUUUAAGUUUAGUGGUAGAAUUUUAAGGUCAGUGGAUUAGUGGGAUUGGGGAGAAAAAUUUUAAGUUUAGUGGUAGAAUUUUAAGGUUAGUGGAUUAGUGGUCAGUUUCUUAUUUGCCGAUAAAUCGUUUUAAUUUUUCCACCUCAAUGAAUAUUAAACUCAAUCGAAGCACUCGAUCGUUUGUGCAAUA
This is a long non-coding RNA of Benincasa hispida (wax gourd), 1330 nucleotides long. RefSeq lists it as uncharacterized. The record is from RefSeq and is a predicted model, not a curated record. NCBI's taxonomy places the organism in Eukaryota, Viridiplantae, Streptophyta, Magnoliopsida, Cucurbitales, Cucurbitaceae.